GACGAACGCUGGCGGCGUGCUUAACACAUGCAAGUCGAACGGUGAAGCGCCUUCCUUUUUGGUGGGUGUGGAUGAGUGGCGAACGGGUGAGUAACACGUGAGUAACCUGCCCCCUUCUUCUGGAUAACCGCAUGAAAGUGUGGCUAAUACGGGAUAUUCUGGGUCUGUCGCAUGAUGGGUCUGGGAAAGAUAUUGUUUCGGUGUGGGAUGGGCUCGCGGCCUAUCAGCUUGUUGGUGGGGUGAUGGCCUACCAAGGCGGUGACGGGUAGCCGGCCUGAGAGGGUGGACGGUCACACUGGGACUGAGACACGGCCCAGACUCCUACGGGAGGCAGCAGUGGGGAAUAUUGCACAAUGGGAGCAAGCCUGAUGCAGCGACGCCGCGGGGGGGAUGGAGGCCGUCGGGUUGUGAACCUCUUUCGCCAGUGAAGCAGGCCUGCCUCGUUUGUGGGUGGGUUGACGGUAGCUGGAGAAGAAGCGCCGGCUAACUACGUG
RNAcentral lists this ribosomal RNA (494 nucleotides) under uncultured bacterium. Its description in RNAcentral is "partial 16S ribosomal RNA". It matches the Rfam family "Bacterial small subunit ribosomal RNA", at positions 28 to 507 of the family's 1533-position model. The record is from RNAcentral.